RNAcentral lists this transfer RNA (69 nucleotides) under Ictidomys tridecemlineatus (thirteen-lined ground squirrel). RNAcentral's name for it is "Spermophilus tridecemlineatus (thirteen-lined ground squirrel) tRNA". It matches the Rfam family "tRNA". From Rfam's summary of the family: Transfer RNA (tRNA) molecules are approximately 80 nucleotides in length. Their secondary structure includes four short double-helical elements and three loops (D, anti-codon, and T loops). Lineage: Eukaryota; Metazoa; Chordata; Mammalia; Rodentia; Sciuridae. RNAcentral also lists the same sequence under 1 other name. The record is from Rfam by way of RNAcentral.
GGGGUUGUGGCUCAGUGGUAGAGUGCUCGCCUAGCAUGUGUGAGGCACUGGGUUUGAUCCUCAGCACCA